CUCGGCCAAAAGGGACCUUCGGGCCUCUCGCGUCAAGAUAUGCCUAGGUGGGAUUAGCUAGUUGGUGAGGUAAUGGCUCACCAAGGCGACGAUCCCUAGCUGGUCUGAGAGGAUGAUCAGCCACACUGGAACUGAGACACGGUCCAGACUCCUACGGGAGGCAGCAGUGGGGAAUAUUGCACAAUGGGCGAAAGCCUGAUGCAGCCAUGCCGCGUGUAUGAAGAAGGCCUUCGGGUUGUAAAGUACUUUCAGUUGUGAGGAAGGGGGUGGCGUUAAUAGCGCUAUCUCUUGACGUUAGCAACAGAAGAAG
RNAcentral lists this ribosomal RNA (310 nucleotides) under uncultured Gammaproteobacteria bacterium. Its description in RNAcentral is "bacterial SSU rRNA". It matches the Rfam family "Bacterial small subunit ribosomal RNA", at positions 195 to 490 of the family's 1533-position model. The record is from RNAcentral. Lineage: Bacteria; Pseudomonadati; Pseudomonadota; Gammaproteobacteria.